This 502-nucleotide ribosomal RNA is filed under the name uncultured Glomeromycotina. RNAcentral's name for it is "partial small subunit ribosomal RNA". It matches the Rfam family "Eukaryotic small subunit ribosomal RNA", at positions 591 to 1092 of the family's 1831-position model. The record is from RNAcentral. Lineage: Eukaryota; Fungi; Glomeromycota.
CCAAUAGCGUAUAUUAAAGUUGUUGCAGUUAAAAAGCUCGUAGUUGAAUUUCGGGGUCUAUCCGUUGGUCGGGCUUUUGGGUCCGUACUGGCGUUAUAGAUUCCUACCUUCUGAAUAACCGGCAUGCCAUUAAUUUGGUGCGCUGGGGAAGCAGGACUGUUACCUUGAAAAAAUUAGAGUGCUUAAAGCAGGCUAUCGCCUGAAUACAUUAGCAUGGAAUAAUGAAAUAGGACGGCAUGGUUCUAUUUUGUUGGUUUCUAGGAUCACCGUAAUGAUUAAUAGGGAUAGUUGGGGGCAUUAGUAUUCAAUUGUAAGAGGUGAAAUUCUUGGAUUUAUUGAAGACUAACUUCUGCGAAAGCAUUUGCCAAGGAUGUUUUCAUUAAUCAAGAACGAAAGUUAGGGGAUCGAAGACGAUCAGAUACCGUCGUAGUCUUAACCAUAAACUAUGCCGACUAGGGAUCGGACGAUGUUAAUUUUUUAAUGACCCGUUCGGCGCCUUACG